Ornithorhynchus anatinus (platypus) is the source of this 974-nucleotide long non-coding RNA. RefSeq lists it as uncharacterized. The transcript has 2 exons. Lineage: Eukaryota; Metazoa; Chordata; Mammalia; Monotremata; Ornithorhynchidae. The record is from RefSeq and is a predicted model, not a curated record.
UGUCAAAAUUCCCCAUUUAUUUUCAGCCUCCUUUGUCCCCUAUCUCUCCAAGCAUCCUAUUGUCAAACCGUCGCUUUGUGUAAGAUACCCGCCCUGGACCCGGACUUUGAUGUGGCAAAAAUGAAUAAUGCCGCUAUCGACCGCCCGCCGCCGGAGCGCAAUCGCGGCCCUCAGAGACGAAGAAGUUCGUCGUUCCCGGUCGUUCCCGCCCCGCCCGCCGUCGCCGCUGCAUCGAGUCAGGGGGUUCGCUCCCAACAGCACUCUAUUAAUAUGCACAACAUGACCAUUUCCAGGAGAAGGUUAUUAGAAUGCUAGUUUGUAUCCUCCAGUGAAUGAAAUGAUGUGUGAUUAUGAAGUCAUCAGGCAUGGACCAGUAAGACUCCAGAGAGCCUCCCCCGUCUGAGGUCCUCAGGGUGCCAUUGAUUGGUGACCAUGUGUUUGUGCCCGAUAGACUGUGAAAUGGUGUGUUGCUACACGGCUGUGUUGCACCUGUGCCCCACCGAGGGGCUAAAAUGAAGUUCUGCUCUGCUUGUACCUUGACUCGAGCUUGAUGGGAUGGGUUGUGCCAGGUACCGAAGGCUUCUGGGAGUCCUUAAUUCAUCUGUGACCUACACUUAAUGCAUAUAAAGAUACUUUAUUUAAAUUGCCCAAUUUUUAAUGAAGCACUGCUAGGUUUUAGUAAUUACGCAACAACCCGUAGGAAAGAAAAACAAACACGGAAAUUGGAAACAAUUUUUUUUUUCCCCCUUUCACCACCAUUCUUUAUUUGGCAUCAGGUGCCGGGAGAAUUUGGGAUUUUUGUUUACGUGCACGAUGGAAUAUUGACGCAGGCUCCCCGUCGCGCCGCCCCCCCGGCCCCUCAACCACCAUUGCCCACCCCCCUCAAAACCUGGCGUGGUGGCACCGUGUCAGGAGGUUUGAGCUUAUUGUAAUUGAAAAUCACUUGCUUAGGAAAACAUUGUGUAAUUAUAAAA